CCUACGGGUGGCUGCAGUGAGGAAUAUUGGUCAAUGGGCGAGAGCCUGAACCAGCCAAGUCGCGUGAAGGAUGACGGCCCUACGGGUUGUAAACUUCUUUUGUCAGGGAGCAAUUGGGUCCACGCGUGGCCUUAGCGAGAGUACCUGCAGAAAAAGCAUCGGCUAACUCCGUGCCAGCAGCCGCGGUAAUACGGAGGAUGCGAGCGUUAUCCGGAUUUAUUGGGUUUAAAGGGUGCGUAGGCGGAAUUUCAAGUCAGCGGUAAAAUUUCGGGGCUCAACCCCGUCGUGCCGUUGAAACUGGUGUUCUUGAGUGGGCGAGAAGUAUGCGGAAUGCGUGGUGUAGCGGUGAAAUGCAUAGAUAUCACGCAGAACUCCGAUUGCGAAGGCAGCAUACCGGCGCCCAACUGACGCUGAGGCACGAAAGCGUGGGUAUCGAACAGGAUUAGAGACCCGAGUAGUC
RNAcentral lists this ribosomal RNA (460 nucleotides) under uncultured bacterium. Its description in RNAcentral is "partial 16S ribosomal RNA". It matches the Rfam family "Bacterial small subunit ribosomal RNA", at positions 338 to 795 of the family's 1533-position model. The record is from RNAcentral.